RNAcentral lists this transfer RNA (78 nucleotides) under Candidatus Bathyarchaeota archaeon. Its description in RNAcentral is "tRNA-Glu". It matches the Rfam family "tRNA". Rfam says of the family: Transfer RNA (tRNA) molecules are approximately 80 nucleotides in length. Their secondary structure includes four short double-helical elements and three loops (D, anti-codon, and T loops). RNAcentral also lists the same sequence under 1 other name. The record is from RNAcentral. Lineage: Archaea; Thermoproteati; Candidatus Bathyarchaeota.
GCUCCGGUAGUAUAGCCCGGCCAAGUAUGGCGGCCUCUCGAGCCGCAGACGCGGGUUCAAAUCCCGCCCGGAGCACCA